GAUGAAGAACGUAGCGAAAUGCGAUAAGUAAUGUGAAUUGCAGAGUUCAGUGAAUCAUCGAAUCUUUGAACGCACAUUGCGCCCGCCAGCAUUCUGGCGGGCAUGCCUGUUCGAGCGUCAUUUCAACCCUCAAGCUCUGCUUGGUGUUGGGGCCCUACGGUUGACGUAGGCCCUUAAAGGUAGUGGCGGACCCUCUCGGAGCCUCCUUUGCGUAGUAACUAACGUCUCGCAUUGGGAUUCGGAGGGACUCUUGCCGUAAAACCCCCAAAUUUUCUAAUGGUUGACCUCGGAUCAGGUAGGAAUACCCGCUGAACUUAAGCAUAUCAAUAAGCGGAGGA
This 338-nucleotide unclassified non-coding RNA is filed under the name soil metagenome. RNAcentral's name for it is "partial contains 5.8S ribosomal RNA, internal transcribed spacer 2, and large subunit ribosomal RNA". The stretch from base 1 to 120 matches the Rfam family "5.8S ribosomal RNA", at positions 35 to 154 of the family's 154-position model. The record is from RNAcentral.